GACGAACGCUGGCGGCGUGCUUAACACAUGCAAGUCGAGCGGUAAGGCCUUUCGGGGUACACGAGCGGCGAACGGGUGAGUAACACGUGGGUGACCUGCCUUUAGCUUCGGGAUAAGCCUGGGAAACCGGGUCUAAUACCGGAUAUGACUCCAUGACGCAUGUUGUGGGGUGGAAAGCCUUGUGCGGCUGAGGAUGGGCCCGCGGCCUAUCAGCUUGUUGGUGGGGUGAUGGCCUACCAAGGCGACGACGGGUAGCCGGCCUGAGAGGGCGACCGGCCACACUGGGACUGAGACACGGCCCAGACUCCUACGGGAGGCAGCAGUGGGGAAUCUUGCGCAAUGGGCGAAAGCCUGACGCAGCGACGCCGCGUGAGGGAUGACGGCCUC
RNAcentral lists this ribosomal RNA (387 nucleotides) under uncultured bacterium. RNAcentral's name for it is "bacterial SSU rRNA". It matches the Rfam family "Bacterial small subunit ribosomal RNA", at positions 28 to 418 of the family's 1533-position model. The record is from RNAcentral.